ACAUUCAGCAUUAAGCAGAAUUAUUUUAUAAAACUUUGCAUGUAUCGUUGCGAUUUUAAGAUCAACUUAUGUAAGAAGGUCAACUCUCCUACUCUCAGAAAAACAUUGACUUUAGAUGUAAACAGGAUCCAAGCAAAAAAAAAAAUAUGGCUGAUAUAGCUUUUGUUAGCAAUAAUCCCCCAUGGAUACGAUGUUACCGUAAUAAAAUUUUGAAGAAGAAUUUAAUGUUCUGAGAGUUUUUGAAUUCACAAAUAAACUAAUUGUAAUCCGUUGUAAUAGUAGUUAUGAUAAUAUUAAUUUUCUUCUUUUCUAUCUCUAAUAUACGUCUGUGAUUCUAAUCUUUUCUAAAGACCAACAUAGGCCAUAACUAUUUUGUCGAUAAUCUGUCAGAAAUGCCAGAAAUAUCUAUUUUGCUGACUGAUUUUACUGGCAAUUGUGUAUAUUAAAAAAAAUCGUACACAUUCAGUCACGCAUUUUCGAGCAUUGAUGAUAUUAAUCCAUUCGAGUUUAACAAAAUCUCGCAAAUUUUGACAUAUUCUGAGAACCUUGUCGCCAAUAAAUCCUUAUAUCCAGAAAAUGGAAUUGAUGGAGUAGAAUGUGCUCGGCACAAUGUUUUGCAAAUUAUCUUGAAAAAUGUCUUCAUUGCUCUUGCCAUUAUCAUAAGUAAUUUGUCAUUCGUAACACAGUUAUUGGCUAUCACUGCAAGAAUAAAUGUACAGUUGCACUGUAAAUUUCAGGCAUCAAUGAAUAUAUACAUUACUAAUUAA
Pogonomyrmex barbatus (red harvester ant) is the source of this 767-nucleotide long non-coding RNA. RefSeq lists it as uncharacterized. The record is from RefSeq and is a predicted model, not a curated record. NCBI's taxonomy places the organism in Eukaryota, Metazoa, Arthropoda, Insecta, Hymenoptera, Formicidae.